RNAcentral lists this ribosomal RNA (529 nucleotides) under uncultured Lactobacillus sp. Its description in RNAcentral is "bacterial SSU rRNA". It matches the Rfam family "Bacterial small subunit ribosomal RNA", at positions 28 to 525 of the family's 1533-position model. The record is from RNAcentral. Lineage: Bacteria; Bacillati; Bacillota; Bacilli; Lactobacillales; Lactobacillaceae.
GACGAACGCUGGCGGCGUGCCUAAUACAUGCAAGUCGAACGAAGCUUUCUUUCACCGAAUGCUUGCAUUCACCGAAAGAAGCUUAGUGGCGAACGGGUGAGUAACACGUAGGCAACCUGCCCAAAAGAGGGGGAUAACACUUGGAAACAGGUGCUAAUACCGCAUAACCAUGAACACCGCAUGAUGUUCAUGUAAAAGACGGCUUUUGCUGUCGCUUUUGGAUGGGCCUGCGGCGUAUUAACUUGUUGGUGGGGUAACGGCCUACCAAGGUGAUGAUACGUAGCCGAACUGAGAGGUUGAUCGGCCACAUUGGGACUGAGACACGGCCCAAACUCCUACGGGAGGCAGCAGUAGGGAAUCUUCCACAAUGGACGAAAGUCUGAUGGAGCAACGCCGCGUGAAUGAAGAAGGCCUUCGGGUCGUAAAAUUCUGUUGUCAGAGAAGAACGUGCGUGAGAGUAACUGUUCACGUAUUGACGGUAUCUGACCAGAAAGCCACGGCUAACUACGUGCCAGCAGCCGCGGUAAUA